This 253-nucleotide ribosomal RNA is filed under the name uncultured bacterium. Its description in RNAcentral is "partial 16S ribosomal RNA". It matches the Rfam family "Bacterial small subunit ribosomal RNA", at positions 524 to 776 of the family's 1533-position model. The record is from RNAcentral.
UACGUAGGCAGCGAGCGUUGUUCGGAAUUACUGGGCGUAAAGAGUGUGUAGGCGGUGCUCUAAGUUCGGUGUGAAAUCUCCCGGCUUAACUGGGAGGGUGCGCCGGAAACUGGAGUGCUCGAGCGUGGGAGAGGAAAGCGGAAUUCCUGGUGUAGCGGUGAAAUGCGCAGAUAUCAGGAAGAACACCAAUGGCGAAAGCAGCUUUCUGGGACGGUACUGACGCUGAGACGCGAAAGCGUGGGGAGCGAAUGGG